ACAAAUCGCCACAGUGGAGCGUGGGGUGGGGUGCCCGAGAGCCUAGCAAAGGAGAAAAGCAAGCCCCCCGUGAGUGAUGCCAGAACCCCCGGGAGGCCAGAGGACUGCACACUUCCCUACCAUCCCCUCCCGACGCCUUUGGCGUACACUGCCUGCCAACACGAGUGAGAAUCCUUCACGUCGCCAUCUUUGCGUCCUUGGUCUCCCUUCUGAAACAUGGGAAGAGGCUGCUUAGCAGGAGGCCAGAGAUGGGUGCGAGGGCCCCGACGCAGGCCGUGUUUCUCCACACGACAAGCUCGAAUCACGUGGUGGUCAUGAAGGUUCCCCAGGAGGCAGGGCCGCGAUGGAGCCCCAGUCAACGCAUCUGAGGUCUGGUUCCUGUUCCUCGAUGUCUCAGCUGCCCAGAGGGCCCCGGCGUGAGCCCUGCACGUGCUGUGCCAGGCCCUGCAGCUCAAGAGCCCAAGCUAAGCCAGCGUGGACGAGGGACACGUCCUUGAACUCUGAAUGUGAUCUGCUGCUGUGGUGCCCGGACGGGGUGGCUUCGGAAGGCCGUGUGAGGGCAGUCUGUCCUGUCUGCCCACCUCGCCUUUCUGGUAAAGACAGGCAGGGAUGCGGAGGCGUGGCCACUCCUGAUUCGGGAUGAAAGCAACCAAAGCCGUGACUUUCACCACCACGCACCGAUCGAGAGCUGGGAGGCGUGCCAAGCACCGCAUCCUAACCUCUCUGACACCUACGAGCAAACCGUGAACCAGAACCUGGAACAGGUUACGUCUGUGCUGGGAGCCUGCUUCUAAAUAACUCACAUGUUUUGGAACAAAAAAAACCCACAACCUUCCCUGGAGCUGGAAGAGAUCCCGAGGGAAUGGGUGACUCAGACUGUAGACAAAUACAUUACACUGCCCGUUCAGGCUGCUUCUGUGUGGGCGCUUCUAAAAAGACAUGCGGACACACGAGCGCUCCUUAGACUCUAAUUGGCUUAACGUAUUAAUGACCAUGUUGCAAAACCGGGACACCAAGCUAGCGAAUCUAAUCGUGGAAGGAGACUCCGACUGCAGAUGUCGCUGAUCAGGAAAACAUUUCCCUGCAUUUCCUCCAGAUUCCUGUCGCGGCUGUGGACGGUGGUGCUUCCCUGAGACUGCAGCAUCGCCGAGCCACCUCGCAGAGUUCGCGCGGUGCGACAUCUCCUUGGGAGAGAAUCGGCUGGACUGGGAGUUGACUGCAAGGCUCAAAGGCAGUCCACUGGGGACAACGGCCAGGGACCACACCUGCUGCCUUUUAUACUUCGUGUUUGUGUGAUGGACACCUAGAUCAACCCCCACAAGAAACCCUUUGUAUGCUUUAGAGAAGAGAGAGAGAGAGAGAGCGCGCGCGAGCUUCCAUCUGCUGGUUCACUCCCCAAAUGGCUGCAAUGACCAGGGCUGGGCCAGUCCAAAGCCAGGAGCCAGGAGCUUCUUCUGCAUCCCCCUGGUGGGUGCAGGGGCCCAAGCACUUGGCCCAUCCUCUGCUGCUUUCUUAGCUGCAUUAGCAGGGAGCUGGAUAAGAAGUGGAGCAUCCAGAACUCAAACUGGUGCUCAUACGUGCUGCCGGCAUCGCAAGCGGUGGCUUGACGUGGUGCGCCACAAUGCUGGCUCCAAGAAAUCUUUCACAAAAGGAAGGGGCCCGUGGGGUGUUCUCUUCCUGCUUCCAAGGUUGUGGAGAUGCGGUUGGAGCCGGUACAACCCAACCUAGCAUCACAAGGGGCAGAGAGAGAUCCCGCCUACUCAAUUAAAAUGAACCCUACAAGCCAUCAACGCUUGCUGAAUCCUACGGAGGAAGCAAAGAAUCUUAAAGUACUUUUCUCUGGCCUUAGGAAGCUUGGGUUUUGAGUGCAGCUAGGAGAUGCACCGUCCUGCCUGAGGGAGCAGAAGGGAACAUAAAAACCAAAGGAUCUCCGGUCUGGGGCAGACUUUGCGUCUAAGCAGCUGGUGGCCUAGCCUUCCUCCACCCUUCAAGCCUCCUUGUAUACUACCCAGAGAGGCACUUUAGAAAGGUGGGCUUUACAAAAGAAACAGGGGGGGCCUUUGGCGUGGAGGUGUAGGUGUCUCUUGGCACGCUCACCUCCCAUAUCAGAGGGCCUGGGUUCGAAUCCUGGCUCUGCUCCUGGUUGCAGCGUCCUGCUAAUGAGCACCCUGGGAGGCAGCAGGUGUUGGCUCAAGCAGCUGGGUCCCUGCCACCCACAUGGGAGACCCAGAUGGAGCUCCAGGCUGCUCGCUCUAGCCUGGCCCAGCCCUGGCCGCUGUGGGCACUGGGGGCCGGGGGGCAGUAGAUGGGAGAUCUCUACCUUUCAGAUUAAAUAAGCAAGUAGAUAAAAAAGAUAGGCAAGCGAGAGACAUCACUCCAUUGCUCCUCGCGGUCUCUGCUGGCUCGUGACUCUUGGUCGUGUGUCUUUCCCCUCCCUGGCUCUGUCUGAAGAUAUUCCUGUCCCUGGUUUGUGAAAUGUGACUGUGAGGUGCCCUGGUGCGGUUCUCUGUGUGUUUUAGACUCUGAGCUGAGAUUGUUUGUUCAGCCUUUGAUCUGCGGAUUUAUGCUUUUUUUUAAAAAAAAGAAAAUUUGGAACAUCUUUAGCAAAACCAAAAAAAAAUGAGUGCUGGGGUUAGCAAGAGUCCAAAUCAGGUUCAGGCCUGAGUUGACUGUUUAUGUUCUGAUCCUUGAUUUUCUCUAUGGUAAAACAGGGACAAUAAUACCUACCCCUGAGGACCACAGUGAGCCCUAACCAGGUAAAGGAGGCCCAGUGACAUUCUGAGACAACUGGGGCUGGUGUUGUGGCCCAGGGGGUUAAGCCACCACCGGCAACGUCAACAUCCCACGUAAGCACUAGUUCAAGUCCUGGCACUCCUCUUCUGAUCCAGCUCCUUGGGAAGACGGCAGAAGAUGGCCCGAGUCUUUGGGCUCCUGUGUCCUCCCUGGAAGUCUGAGUUGCCUCCAGGGAGGGAAUACAGAUAUCUAGGAGGAAGCAUUGUGGCUUUUGAAACCCAAACAGGCUCUCUCCUAGUGCACCUGUCUUCCGUGUGCAACUUGAUUGUGAAAUGCAUGAAUUUCUGAGCUGAGAGGUCUACAAAAUGCUGGGCGCACUGGCUGGGGAGGUGCGCUCACGGAGGCCACAGGCUGAGCACCGGCAACAGAAGCCCUGGAGCCGCCCAGAGGUCCUAACACCCCAGGGGGAGAUCCAGAGUCCACAGGGGCCUCCUCCGAGCCCCAGACACCCAGGGCUGCUAUGGUUUGAACUUGAUUUGCCUCCCAAACUCAUGUAGGACUUUAACCUAAGUUCAUGGUAUGAGGAGGGUAGAAUGUCAGCCCAGUUUUGGUAUUUGGUCGGUGAGCCGGCCGGAGGUCCUAAGUCGUUGGUGGCAGGCCCGGCUGUAAAAGCCGAGUUGGGUGCACCUCCCCGCCCCCUCUGGUCCCAGUUUGCUGUGUGGCCAUUCCUCUGCACCUGCUCUGCUGCCAUCACCCCUGCCCUCAUCGGAGGCCAAACCAAGGGGCCCUUGAACUUGGACUUGAGCCUCCAACACUGAGCUAACUCUACCUCUCUUUUUCCUGCGUAAGUAAUUAUCCCAGGUGUUUUGUUGGUGUUAAAAAAAUCUGACUUGUAAAAGGGGAGAGUGAAUCUUAUCCUAUCAAAUUAUCUAUCUGGAGUGGGGUAAAACAAAUAGUUUUUAGUCAAGCACGACUUGAAAAUGCUAAUGCGUACACACCCUUUCUUGUAAGCUAUCAGAGGCUGUGCUACCAAAAUAAAGGGGUACACCAAGAAAGAGGAAGACGGGGCUCCAGGGAACAUGGUACUCAACACCAGGCAGAAGGAAGAGACCCCAGGCCAAGGCUAUGAGGGAGACCCAGCCCCUGUCCAGAGGGGGAACCAAGGGUUUAGGAGCGACAGAUCCUGGAAGAGAAACGAAAUCGGUAAGUUAGUUCCCUGCUCUGUUUCAUCAGGCGGUAAACAGCAAUAUUCAGAGGGUUCCUGUAACUGGUGAAGGAUUUUAGGAAGAAAUAACAAAGAAACCAAGCAAACAAAAAUGAGAGCUUACUAGAAUGAGGGGGAAAUUUAGAAAGAUGUGUAGGAAUGAAUUAACUCAUAGAUCCAGGUUGUAAUAGGAUAAACACAGGUAGGAGGGGAGACUGGGGGUCCCAGGUGAGACGCAGGACCAAAUGCCCAUUUUCCAUCACAGGAAUCAAUAGAAUGGAUAAGUCGGGAAGAACGAUUGUGUUUAGAAUUAUGGAUGUAACCAUCGGAAUAGCAGAAAGGGCUGACAGUGCCGUCUUCCAUCACAAGGCUUGUAGUUCUAUCUGAUUUUAACUCAUACAUGUAUUUCUUGAAUGAUUUAAAAACAUAACUGGCAAAGAGAAAAGAAGCUAAGAGGUGAUGGCCUUGAGAGAAAGGGUUCUAGAUUUGCAUGGAUGAGUGUGAUGACCUUGAGAAUUUAAGCAGGUCAGGCUCUGAGGAUGUGGUCAUAGAAUUAGUGCCAUCAACAAUGCAUUAGAAGGGAAUCGAUGGCCGUCACGCCCCCGGACAGGAUCGAUGUGCAGACUCAAGUGCUGCUGGGGAGGGUGAGGGGCGGGCCCUGGUGUGGGAAGGCUCCGCCUUGCUCGUCCCCACCUCCCCCUUGGACCAAGGUUCGGGUGAGAAGCGUUGAUAGAAGACUCAAGGCCAUUUGGGAACGUGAGACUCAGGCCAGUGUGUGCCUCCCUCCCCCAGAGAAGCUCGAGAUCAUAACAAGCCUUUGUAGAGAAGCCCCCUGCCCUCUGUGGGGUGGGAGCAGCAGAGGCAGAUGGCGGCACGACCCCUGGGGACAGAGGGCCCCAGGACCCUCGAUCGUAGUUAGCUUCUGGGCCUCUGGUCGCGGCCUUCUUGCUGGCAGAGUUCCCACAGCUGAGAGCAGCACACAGCCAAAGGGAGCAGGUGCGUCCAUGUCUCUGAUGCCUUAUGAAGCCACGAGGCUGUAGCCACAGGCUGCACCUUAGCUCCCAACCCAAACCUUCCAGAGGCCCCGCCUUCAGAAGCCAUCAUUGGGUUGUCCCCACCCGCUUCGUUCUGCUAACGUACGACUUCGGGGUCCAAAGCUUUCACACGCGAGUCUUGUGGGGGACAUUCAUCACCCAAACUAAUAUCCAGAUCGUAGCACCCUCUAAAAUAUUUAUUUAUUUGAAAC
Oryctolagus cuniculus (rabbit) is the source of this 5183-nucleotide non-coding RNA. The record is from RefSeq and is a predicted model, not a curated record. NCBI's taxonomy places the organism in Eukaryota, Metazoa, Chordata, Mammalia, Lagomorpha, Leporidae.